RNA transcript from Carassius carassius (crucian carp), 4239 nucleotides. It is a transcript of the gene named QKI, KH domain containing, RNA binding 2, with no coding region annotated. The record is from RefSeq and is a predicted model, not a curated record. The transcript has 8 exons. NCBI's taxonomy places the organism in Eukaryota, Metazoa, Chordata, Actinopteri, Cypriniformes, Cyprinidae.
UUGGAGACUCCGUGCGAUGGCAAUGUUGAGCAGUGUUGGGUUUAUCGUGAUCAUGUGACAGACAGCUUUGGGAGAGAACUGCUCUGAACACAGAAACAUCAGGCGCAACUAAAGGAGUUAACACUGCGCGAGGGACAGAGCCUACAAGUGAACACUGCCCUGCUUUAAAACCGUUAUUCAAGUGCUCUGAACGACGUCGACGGUCUGUGGAAAGUUCUGUGGAGAAACGUUUGGUGCCGAUAAAACGUUUUCUGUAGAAGAGGACAGACGCACAAAUCUCAGCGGGCAUGCGGCAGUUUUUGGAGUUAUUUGACGGCAAACACUCUACAAACAAAUAAGCACUUUCACGUAGAUUCCUUUCGUUAACUGAGUCAUUAAGUUAGUUGUUGUUUUUGUAAAAACCGAUGAUUGGGGGUGAUGCAAAGUUUCAACAUUGCGUUUGAAAAGUAGCUACAUCGGGGCAGGACUUUGGAAUAAAACAGGGAAAACAUAUCAAACCCCUCCGUUUGCCUUUUCCCCCUUUUUUUAGGGGGUUGUCGUGUUUUUCCGAAUUUUAACGCCUUUUUGAAGGGUAUUAAACAUGGUUGGGGAAAUGGAAACGAAGGAGAAGCCUAAGCCGACUCCUGAUUAUCUGAUGCAGCUCAUGAACGACAAGAAAAUGAUGAGCAGCCUGCCAAACUUCUGUGGUAUCUUCAACCAUCUCGAGCGCCUGUUAGAUGAAGAAAUUGGACGGGUACGGAAGGACAUGUACAAUGACACUCUGAACGGCAGCACAGAUAAAAGGACUUCCGAGCUCCCGGAUGCUGUGGGGCCCAUUGCACAACUCCAAGAGAAACUAUACGUGCCUGUCAAAGAAUAUCCAGAUUUCAAUUUUGUGGGAAGAAUCCUGGGUCCACGGGGUUUGACAGCCAAACAACUGGAGGCAGAGACGGGCUGCAAGAUCAUGGUGCGAGGCAAAGGCUCCAUGAGAGACAAGAAGAAGGAAGAGCAAAACAGAGGAAAGCCCAACUGGGAACACCUGAACGAAGACCUGCAUGUCCUCAUCACUGUGGAAGACUCUCAGAACCGUGCUGAGAUCAAACUUAAGAGAGCCGUUGAGGAGGUCAAGAAACUCCUAGUCCCUGCGGCCGAAGGUGAAGACAGCUUGAAAAAGAUGCAGCUGAUGGAGCUGGCCAUUCUCAACGGCACUUACAGAGACGCCAAUAUCAAGUCACCAGCCUUAGCCUUCUCCCUGGCCGCCACAGCACAAGCUCCCCGCAUCAUCACCGGCCACUCCCCGGUGAUGCCCACUGCGGCACUGCGAACACCUGCACCCGCCGCACCCACCCUCAUGCCCCUCAUCCGGCAGAUCCAGACCUCUGCCAUCAUGCCCACAGGCACGCCCCAUCCUGCCCUCGUACCCCAGACCCCUGAGUCAGGCAUCAUCUAUGCACCCUACGAUUACCCCUACACCCUCGCCCCAACCUCCAUUCUUGAAUAUCCUAUUGACUCAAGUGGUGUUUUAGGUAUGGCUUUCCCGACAAAAGGCUAGUAAUGCUCAGGGGUUUAACACAGUCCUCAGCCCAUACGUGUGUUAAAAAUGCUUUGCUUUUCAGCUGCCUUGGAACAAAAAACAGACAAAAGAACAAAUGAAGAAACUGAUUUUUAUAAGAAACAAAAGACUAAAGAUCAUUACUACUCAUGUUUACACUGGUCUUAACUGUUUUGUUGACUUAUUCAUAGAUUAAAAAUUUAUAUUUUCAGAUAAAUACUGAUAAGUAAGCCUGAUUACAUUCCUCUGUUUGAAAAGUAAUCUAUAUUUGUUUAGUAAUCUAUAUUUGUUUUUCAUACAACUGUAUCUUUAGAUAUUUAGAGAGCGAUCAGUAUUAUUGCUAAUAUAAAAUGCUUGUGAAAAACUUUCUCCAUGAAAUAGCCUGCAGUGAAUUCAUACUAUCUGAGGCAUCUAGUGUGCUGAAAGGAAUACAAGGGCUCUAUAGUCAUUGUAAAAAAUUGUCAAGAGCAUAAAAAAAAAUACCAUUUGUGUUUUUAUUAAAAUGCAACAAAUUUACUGGGAAAUUGAGAAAGGGCAAUAACAUAUGAUGUGAUUUCACUAUAACAGGGCCCUGGAGAAAAGGUCACUUGUGCCUUGUAAUUUGGUUUUACAAGCCUCGUUUGUGAAACAAUGUUGUGUAAAGUGUAGUUUUAAUGUAUUUUGAUGAAUAAUCUGGUAAUUCUUGUUUUGUUGGCAAUGUUGCGCUCUGAGCAGGUGCAGUGACUACUAAAGUACGAAGGCAGGAUAUGCGCGUCCAUCCUUACCAAAGGGUAGUGACCGCAGAACGAGCCGUCACUGGCAACUAACCAAUGACCCUCUGAACCCUUCACCCAAUGAUGACCUGACCAUUGCCUGCCUGCUGACCAGUUCUCUGGCUCUCGUCCUUCGCUUCUAUGUUUUGGCGGCCUGCUGGUGAGCCCCAGAAGCAGCUUUAAUUCACUUAACACAGCCGAGAAGCCGUGAUGGCCCCACGCCACGACCCGCAGAACAGAAUCGUUCCCCUUCUCAAACUGAGGACCUCCUUGGUCAGGUGACCUGGGCUUCCCAGCCUGCACUGAAAUGUCAUAAAGCAAUAACGCUGUGUGGGAGACACCUGAAAUCCUACGGUUAGCCUUUCACAUACACACACUGAAUAAACAAAUCUUUAUUGGUUUCAUAACAAUUAAGCAUAAUAUUCUAUAUAACACUCUAAGUUUGUGCACUGCAGUUCUCAUGCCAUCCUGAAGAGUUAUUUUAAAACCGAUUUAUCGGUCCAAAUGUCCAUAAGGGAUGUAAAAGCCAUGCUUGCCUACCAGCGUUUUCUUCAGAGAGCUGUCGAAAAGUGAGCAAGUGUGCAAACACUGAACAUCGACUGAUAUCUUUUUGAUACGAGGGUGCUGCACAGGAAACGAAUAUAUAUUUUUCAAAGGUCAUCUUUUUUGUAAUAAAAAAACAAAGCAGUAUUGUCAAAAUGUGAUGAACACAAGACAACAUUUUUGAGACCAAAACAGUGUCUUUUUUUAAUAAUAAAAAAACAAACCAGUGCCUUAUUUUACACAAUAUCAUCAAUUAUGAAUAAGUAUGAAUGUCCAUCAAUGUGUUAUAUGCCAACAUAUCAGGUAUUUUUAUUCAAUUCCUCUUUAUUCAUGAAAACAAGAGGUGUACAGAACAACGUUCCAGGCGUUACUCAAAAACUACAUUUUUUAUGUGCAGUUUCUCAUUUUUAUUUACAAGUAAUGAUUGAGUUUUACCCUGUCACACUACAUUAGAUGGUAAUUGAGCCUGUUUGUAGUUGAUGAUAUAUAUGUACAAGCUCUCUAAUAUGUUUGUAGAUCCAUUACUAUAUCUGAUACACAGCAAUGAAGCAACCAACAGUUACUGGUCACUAUUUCCAUAUUUUUAGUCUGCUUAUAUCUCAAGAAGCAUUUAUUCCAUUCAUCAGGAUGAAUAUUAUAAAGGUUUGGGGUUAAUUAGUACAGAGCUCAUUUUAUUCCUUUUGAAGAAUUGAAGUGUACUAGAAGAGCAAGUUUGUAUGCAGACGCAUCACGUCUCUCCAUACCUUCCUAUGCAAAUGAUUUUCAGUUUUAUUAAAUUUCCUUCAGUUGGUCUUCCAGUUAAAAUGUCAGACCAUUUCAGUGCUGAAGAACAAGACUAAAAGCAUAUUAACAAAUUAUAAUUACAUUUUGUUAUUUGGUUAUCAGAAUCGGAUUUUGAGAAGAUGCAUCUCCUUUUGUAUUUAUGCGGAGCAAAUGCAAUACUUUUUAGACGUUUGAGGCUGUGAUGCAGUUGCAUGUCAUUUUUUUUUUUUUUUUUUAUUAACCUGGAAAUUGCUAAAGUAAAAAUCCUGCAAAUACAUUUAAUGGAUGGAAAUUGUUUUUACAAGGAUCUCUCAUCCUGUCAGAUUGACUAGAAACUGGAGUUGUUUGUUAAUGUGUGUUUUUUUUUUUUUUUUUUGGUUUAGUAUUUGCUUUCCAUGCAGUAUUAAUAUAGACAGUGUCAUUAUGUGUUGUGUUUAUGGGUGAUUGUGUGAGUGACUGUUUGUGUAUUGUAUAUGCCAAUGAACUGCAACUCUCCGUUAAAGCUUAUUUUUGUUGUCUUUUUUUUCUCCGCAAUCCCAAGCAGCUCUCUGCACACAGUCCUAUUUAUAACCAUUGUAACAUUUUAUAAUGUAUUUUUCUAUCAUGUUUUGUAUGUGAGAAAUAACAUUAAAUCACAUUUCCAGAUAUGAA